Non-coding RNA from Macaca mulatta (Rhesus monkey), 420 nucleotides. The record is from RefSeq and is a predicted model, not a curated record. NCBI's taxonomy places the organism in Eukaryota, Metazoa, Chordata, Mammalia, Primates, Cercopithecidae.
GAAGCACUGUAACUUCUGCCUUGUUCUCACUCUCUCUCUCUCUCUCUCUCUUGUAUUGGUCACUCUGCGGGAAGCUAGUUGCUAAGUCAUUGGGACACACAAUGGAGAGGUCCAUAUGGAAAGACAGAGGCCUCCCACCAACAGCUUGUAAUGUUUACUAAAAUCUCUCCUCAACACCAGACGAAGCACGAGACCAGGAUGUUCUGGGCUGCUUGGAGAAUGUUCCCACAACGGUGAGCUGCUUGGCAGAGAAUCACACGGUUGCCACCCAUUCAAGGCGGGGGCACCCCAGUCUCCAACUCAGGGGUCACUGAUGUGCUCAGGGACAAGAAAACCAUCAGACAAUGUCGGAGAGAGGGGCUUUUUCCUUCGGUGCUUACAAAUAAACAAAAGUCCUCACAGGAAAAGGAGGAUAAAGGC